CCUACGGGCGGCAGUCGAGAAUCAUUCUCAAUGGGGGACACCCUGCUGGUGCGACGCCGCGUGGGGGAAUGAAGGUCUUCGGAUUGUAAACCCCUGUCAUGUGGGAGCAAAUUAAAAAGAUAGUACCACAAGAGGAAGAGUCGGCUAACUCUGUGCAAGCAGCCGCGGUAAUACAGAGGUCUCAAGCGUUGUUCGGAAUCACUGGGCGUAAGGCGUGCGUAGGCUGUUUCGUAAGUCGUGUGUGAAAGUCGCGGGCUCAAACGGCGGACGGAAGAUGAGACUGGGAGACUAGAGUAAUUGAGGGGGAACCGGAAUUCGCGGUGUAGCAGUGAAAUGCUUAGAUAUCGAGAGGAACACUCGUGGCGAAGGCGGGUUCCUGGACAUUAACUGACGCUGAGGCACGAAGGCCAGGGGAGCGAAAGGGAUUAGAUACCCUUGUAGUC
This 443-nucleotide ribosomal RNA is filed under the name uncultured bacterium. Its description in RNAcentral is "partial 16S ribosomal RNA". It matches the Rfam family "Bacterial small subunit ribosomal RNA", at positions 338 to 795 of the family's 1533-position model. The record is from RNAcentral.